This is an RNA transcript of Elaeis guineensis (African oil palm), 2104 nucleotides long. RefSeq lists it as uncharacterized. NCBI's taxonomy places the organism in Eukaryota, Viridiplantae, Streptophyta, Magnoliopsida, Arecales, Arecaceae. The record is from RefSeq and is a predicted model, not a curated record.
CCACUGCCCCUUCCUUUGCCGCCCCAAGCCUCAAGAACACUGCGUAGGGUUCUCCCAGCUCCCCCAAUUCCGUCGGCAUGCCGCAAGGAGAUUACAUAGAGCUCCACAGGAAGCGCCAUGGCUACCAGUUCGACCAUUUCGAUCGGAAGCGGAAGAAGGAGGCUCGGGAAGUCCACGAGAGUUCAGAUUAUGCCCAAAAGGCUCUUGGUAUUAAAGGGAAGAUGUUUGCCAAGAAACGGUAUGCAGAGAAGGCGCUGAUGAAGAAGACGCUUGCUAUACAUGAGGAAUCAUCAUCUAGGAGGAAGGUAGAUGAACCAGUUCAUGAAGGAGCUGUUCCUGCAUAUCUUCUGGAUCGUGAUGUUACAACACGUGCGAAGGUUCUUAGCAACACUAUUAAGCAAAAGAGGAAGGAAAAGGCUGGCAAGUGGGAGGUCCCACUUCCAAAGGUUAGGCCUGUGGCUGAAGAUGAGAUGUUUAGAGUUGUUCGUUCUGGCAAGCACAAAACGAAGCAAUGGAAGAGAAUGGUCACCAAAGUCACACGUGUAGGAACAGAGUUUACAAGAAAACCACCAAAAUAUGAGCGUUUUAUCCGUCCAAUGGGAUUGAGGUUUACGAUAGCGAAUGUGACACAUCCUGAACUUAAAUGCACCUUCAAUCUGGAUAUAAUUGGGAUAAAGAAAAAUCCAAAUGGUCCAAUGUACACGUCUCUUGGUGUUGUGACAAAGGGAACUAUCAUUGAGGUGAAUGUGAGCGAACUUGGUCUGGUUACACCUGGAGGGAAAGUUGUAUGGGGGAAAUAUGCUCAAGUCACAAAUGAUCCAGAGAAUGAUGGUUGUAUAAAUGCAGUUCUGCUUGUCUGAAGACUAAGACUGCUCUCACCGCUUUCUGAAGCUGUUGGUAGAAGCGAGACAAGUUGACCAGCUUAUCUGAAAGCUCAACCCAUACUGACCAACGUUGAGAGUCAAGUAGCCACCUUUAUAGUAAUAGCGGGCCGACAGAGCAGCGGAAAAGAAUUGGGCAGGGAACCACUCAUUUUAUUAAAAGAGAAUUGGCUUUGGACUAGCAAGUACAAAAUGGGAAAUGAAAAGAAACCGAAGGAUUACUUCUUUCAAGACUAAAUUUGAUCUUUUCCUUGACUUUCUUUGGGACAUAAGGUACUUCUUAUAACUUUUUGUCUUGUUUGUUCAACACAUCGUAAGACUUGCAUUGGGCCUGAGCAAAAUAUUCCAAACUUAUGACUGAAACUAGGAUAUCCAUCCAGCCUUAAUCUCAUUUUGGAGUGGGGAUUUCCCGAGGUCGUCAAAGUCCUUGAUGUUGAAUAACUGACCAGAAGCGGACUAGACCACUCCUCUGGCCAACAGAAGCGGUGGAGAAAGAUGGUUCAUGCAUUAUGGGUCGUUCCAAAAAUUCUUUCUUAUGGACAUCAUUCUCAGGAGCAUCCGAUUCUGAGAGAGGACGUCCAGUUAUUGGUACCCAAGGCUGGAAUCAACCGAACAAUAUCGGGACCCAUCCUCAAAAGUAAGCAGAGUGACACGUGCUUGGACGAGCUAGAGAGAGAGAGAGAGAAAGGAAAAAAAAAGAGGGACAUCUGGUGGCUUAUACCGAAGAAGGAUAAAAAAAAAAAAAGGGACAUCUGGUGGCUCCCUCAACAUAGAAGAUAACGGUGGAGAAAGCUAGUGGCCCUAGGAAUCCCAAAGUUUGAAUGGGAUGCUUCCAGAGAACAAUUUCUGGUCGACAAGCGGCCGAAGGCCUAGAUCAUCGAAUGCUGCUCUAAAGAUGGAGACGGUUCCAGAGAUGGAUACAUUGGAACAAAGAAAUUCUUGACCUCCUAGCCGUGACUUUUCUUGGUCCCUGCUGCAGAAUGAUCGUGACCUUUGUAGAUGUUCUUGUGCGAAGGACAUGGGUCGCUAUCUGUUUGGCAGAUCAAUCUAAUAAUAUAAUUUUGUAGACUCAAAUAUACACUAGCACUAUAAUUUGUUUUGUCUUCGCUUUGUUUAAUCACAUCCAUUUGUUGUUUGAUGAGAACAAUAAAAGCAAAAGGAUGACAUUAUUUUGAGAAUGGCGGGUGAAUGAUUUUUUUGGUUUGAGUCAAUUAUUUACUAAU